Molecule: long non-coding RNA, 2063 nt
Filed under: Homo sapiens (human)
Lineage: Eukaryota; Metazoa; Chordata; Mammalia; Primates; Hominidae
Description: PREDICTED lncRNA (TCONS_00158753)
Source: RNAcentral
ACAUAUCAACGUAACUUAUAUUCAUACAGAAAUGAAGACUUGCUAAAGCAACAUUCUUGAAAAGAUGUCUGGGGAUGUUGCACUGCUAAACCUACCUGUCCCUGAGUAACUAUAUUGUGUCCCAGAGUUCCCUCUGAUUGAAUUCCACUGACUCAGAGUGGCAAUUGUUUUGAUAACAUACCCUUGAUCGGCUUCCUUCCUUUUCUCACUUUCCUUUUGCACUGGUGUCUCCUGUGAUCACUUCCAAAAUAAACUACUUACACUCAAUUCUUGUCCUCAGGUCUGCUGCUGGGGAAACCAAACCACAGUAACUUCAGAAAUAUAUACUUGGAAUAUGUCAUGUAUUAAUGGGUAAAGACACCGUGGAUAUGAAGGAAAUCACCUAUGGGAGAAUAUUAAGAAGAGAAGAAGGUUAGUUCCAUGACUUGACUAAAUGGGGGCUUGGCUAUCUUGACAGAGUCUCAUUCCAGCCCUGUUCACAUGCUCGGUGGUUGUGGAAAUACAGACUCCAAGUCAUUCAACACUUUUAGCACCUUCCUGAGACCAUUUACUCUCUAAAAUGGAGUCUACCUGCUUCCACCUGAGAGCUAAAGAACCUUCUCUUUGAUCAAGCUGAGUUCCAGAGUUCCAAGUUUCCCAGGAUUCAGAGAUCCCUGGCCCAGCUGUGAUAUGCAGUCUCAAAACACAAAACAUCUGGAGAGAUGAUAUGAACAGUUCAUCUUUCCCUAUUUAUAUUUGAAGGCUAAGGCAAUGUUUAUGGAAUAAAGAAUUUGUUUAAAUGAAUGUCUGAACAUUAUGAAUUCCUUGUUAUACUUUAUCUGGCUUCACAAUUGAUGUAGUGAACCAAGAUCUCUCUAUACAUAUACUCACAUGCAUACACAUACACAUAGGCUUAUAGUCAUAAAGCUAUAUAGUCAUAUAUACAUGUAUCUAUAUAUCAAAAAAGAGAUUGUUAUUUUUCUUUAUGUACCUAGGGAAAUCCCUGAACCUAUUAAGGCCACUAUAUUCAUUUCUCUAAAGUCUAAAAGCAGACUGGAAGGAUGGAAUAUGAGUAUAACACGAAAGUAAUAUUUUUCACAAAGUCAUGGCUAUUAAGAACCUUAUAGUCUUUGAGUGGAGUGUAUAAUUUGAAAUUAAAGUUUCAUAACUGAGUAUCCUUCUUUUUAGAAGAAAAAUGUUCUCAUAAAUCUGUUACCCAAAAUGCUUUUGAAAGAAAAUUUACCAUUUUCUUCAACUUUAAAAUCAUACUUGCAAGGGAAGCUCUGUGCAGAGAUGUUUGGCAUAAAUAUGAAUGACAAUAUAUAAAAACUAUUACCACACUACUAAAAAAUGUUGGGCAGCUUUGACCUGGUUAUUUGAUUGAACUUUCUGAAUCUGAUUUGUCAACUGAAGACAAGUAAAAGUUUUUUUACAAAUUCUAUCCUUAGCCUCUCAAUUAAUCUCAAAUAUUUGUUCAGAGAAAUAAUUGAAAAUUCUGACUGUAUCCUGACUGAAAUGUGGAUCACUGGGGGCCUCAAAGCUUCAGUGUGUUUAGUUCCCUAUGGUUUUGAGGCACAUGCCCUAUGUGAACCUUUUGAAGGACAGAAAAAUUCAUAACUGACUAGCAAUUGGUUAACUUUAGUUAAAAAGUGAAACACCUACUCUAGUGGUGCAAAAGAUGUCUGCAAAGGGCAAAAUCUUCAGCUUUGAAAGGCAUUCAGCAAUGUCAAUAGACUAGCACUUGAGAGUCACCUAAAAUUUAUUUGUAUUACUUUUCACCCAAUUUUAAAGAAGAAUAUUUCUAAGAUAAAAGCUUAAAACUUUUUAAUUAAAAAAAAAAAACUAAACUCAGUACUCCUAAGCCUUCAUAGAUAUAUACUUCAGUAUCUUGCAUGACAUUGAAAGCUCUAAUAACCAAAUUCUUUCCUGACUCCUAAUUAUGUGUCCUUGUUCUUCUGUUUAAAGUAACAUUUUGUGUCUAUUUGUGUAUAUGCAUGUGUACACAUUUGUGUGAGUUCACAAAUGAUUACUCUGAUGAAUGUUAAUUUAUAUCAAUCUAACCAAAAUAAAAUUAGAGAAAUCUU